Molecule: ribosomal RNA, 499 nt
Filed under: uncultured Candidatus Saccharibacteria bacterium
Lineage: Bacteria; Candidatus Saccharimonadota
Description: bacterial SSU rRNA
Rfam family: Bacterial small subunit ribosomal RNA
Source: RNAcentral
ACAUACGCGUAGAGUUUGAUCAUGGCUCAGGAUGAACGCUGGCGGAGUGCCUAAUACAUGCAAGUCGAGCGGCAGCACGAGUAGUUUACUACUUGGUGGCGAGCGGCGGACGGCUGAGUAACGCGUGGGAACGUGCCCCAAAGUGAGGAAUAACUGCCCGAAAGGGUAGCUAAUGCCGCAUAUGAUCUUCGGAUUAAAGUAUUUAUUACGCUUUGGGAGCGGCCCGCGUCCGAUUAGGUUGUUGGUGAGGUAAAGGCUCACCAAGCCGACGAUCGGUAGCUGGUUUGAGAGGAUGACCAGCCAGACUGGAACUGAGACACGGUCCAGACUCCUACGGGAGGCAGCAGUAAGGAAUCUUCCACAAUGGACGAAAGUCUGAUGGAGCAACUCCGCGUGCAGGAUGAAGGCCUUAGGGUUGUAAACUGCUUUUAUGAGUGAAGAAUAUGACGGUAACUCAUGAAUAAGGGUCGGCUAACUACGUGCCAGCCGCCGCGGUAAU